UACAGGGGGGGCAAGCGUUGUUCGGAAUUACUGGGCGUAAAGGGCUCGUAGGCGGCCAACUAAGUCACACGUGAAAUCCCCAGGCUUAACCUGGGAACUGCGUGUGAUACUGGAUGGCUUGAAUCCGGGAGAGGGAUGCAGAAUUCCAGGUGUAGCGGUGGAAUGCGCAGAUAUCUGGAGGAACACCGGUGGCGAAGGCGGCAUCCUGGACCGGCAUUGACGCUGAGGCGCGAAAGCCAGGGGAGCAAACGGG
Molecule: ribosomal RNA, 253 nt
Filed under: uncultured bacterium
Lineage: Bacteria
Description: partial 16S ribosomal RNA
Rfam family: Bacterial small subunit ribosomal RNA
Source: RNAcentral